AUUGAACGCUGGCGGCAGGCCUAACACAUGCAAGUCGAACGGUAACAGGAAGAAGCUUGCUUCUUUGCUGACGAGUGGCGGACGGGUGAGUAAUGUCUGGGAAACUGCCUGAUGGAGGGGGAUAACUACUGGAAACGGUAGCUAAUACCGCAUAACGUCGCAAGACCAAAGAGGGGGACCUUCGGGCCUCUUGCCAUCGUAUGUGCCCAGAUGGGAUUAGCUUGUUGGUGGGGUAACGGCUCACCAAGGCGACGAUCCCUAGCUGGUCUGAGAGGAUGACCAGCCACACUGGAACUGAGACACGGUCCAGACUCCUACGGGAGGCAGCAGUGGGGAAUAUUGCACAAUGGGCGCAAGCCUGAUGCAGCCAUGCCGCGUGUAUGAAGAAGGCCUUCGGGUUGUAAAGUACUUUCAGCGGGGAGGAAGGGAGUAAAGUUAAUACCUUUGCUCAUUGACGUUACCCGCAGAAGAAGCACCGGCUAACUCCGUG
This 490-nucleotide ribosomal RNA is filed under the name uncultured bacterium. RNAcentral describes it as "partial 16S ribosomal RNA". It matches the Rfam family "Bacterial small subunit ribosomal RNA", at positions 30 to 507 of the family's 1533-position model. The record is from RNAcentral.